RNAcentral lists this ribosomal RNA (456 nucleotides) under Streptococcus sp. oral taxon 431. RNAcentral's name for it is "bacterial SSU rRNA". It matches the Rfam family "Bacterial small subunit ribosomal RNA", at positions 28 to 471 of the family's 1533-position model. The record is from RNAcentral. Lineage: Bacteria; Bacillati; Bacillota; Bacilli; Lactobacillales; Streptococcaceae.
GACGAACGCGGCGGCGUGCCUAAUACAUGCAAGUAGAACGCUGAAGGAGGAGCUUGCUUCUCCGGCUGAGUUGCGAACGGGUGAGUAACGCGUAGGUAACCUGCCUGGUAGCGGGGGAUAACUAUUGGAAACGAUAGCUAAUACCGCAUAACAGUAGAUAUUGCAUGAUAUCUGCUUGAAAGGUGCAAUUGCAUCACUACCAGAUGGACCUGCGUUGUAUUAGCUAGUUGGUGGGGUAACGGCUCACCAAGGCGACGAUACAUAGCCGACCUGAGAGGGUGAUCGGCCACACUGGGACUGAGACACGGCCCAGACUCCUACGGGAGGCAGCAGUAGGGAAUCUUCGGCAAUGGACGGAAGUCUGACCGAGCAACGCCGCGUGAGUGAAGAAGGUUUUCGGAUCGUAAAGCUCUGUUGUAAGAGAAGAACGAGUGUGAGAGUGGAAAGUUCACACUG